Long non-coding RNA from Lycium ferocissimum, 3135 nucleotides. RefSeq lists it as uncharacterized. Lineage: Eukaryota; Viridiplantae; Streptophyta; Magnoliopsida; Solanales; Solanaceae. The transcript has 2 exons. The record is from RefSeq and is a predicted model, not a curated record.
UAGAAAUUGGAGUUGUGUUUGAACAUGAAUACAACUUGGAAAAAUGUUUGAAUUUUUGUGAGUUAUUUGGAGUGAAAAAUGCGAAAACAGAUAUUUGGAGUUUUUCGAAUUCCGGAAAAUUGGAACAAUUCUAUGUCCAAACAUGAUUCCGGAAUAAAACUCUGGAAAAAAGUGAAAAUCAUCCAUGGCCAAACGGGUGUUUUUUUGCAUUCCGUUUGUCGGCUUGUUCUUUCCUUGGUGCGGGAGAAUGGCUUAGAGUGACAGUUUUUGCUACUCGAGUAUGGUUCAUUAGUUGUAGUCCCUUCUAAAGUCAGGUUUUAUAUGUUUCAAUUCCUAUAAAACUUAGACUGCUGUUCUCUGGUUGAUUUGUGUUUGCCUAUAAUCUUCAUCAUGAAUGGUAGUAUAAGAUAAUAAGCUUGGCUAAGGCCUUAUUAAUAUUUAAUGUUUGGAUUGGAGGAUACGUUCUUAAACUAGUGAACUUAUUGUCCAUGUUGUAAACACAGGCUUCUGUUCUUCUUUAUUUAGCUUAAUAACUGACCCAAUCUGUGUAAAGCAUUUUCCAUAAUUGAAUGAACUCAACCAGAUUAGCAGCUGCCUUCAUCCAACUUCUUGUUUCUGAUCUUUGAUGGCCGUUUAAGAAGUUAGGCUUAAUUGGGGCCAACACUUUUGUGUCUGAGAUUGUAGUAGGUCUUUAAGCAUUGUGUUUAUAUCUCUAAUUGGAGUUGGAGUAGGUCUUUAAGCAUUGUGGUUAUAUCUCUAAUUGGAGUUGGAGUAGGUCUUUCAGCAUUGUGUUUCUCUGAUUCUUAGGUGAUGUAAUAUCAUGAAUGUAUAUCUGGUAUUUCUGUUCAGUUACUGUUGAAACAAAAUUCUAUUGGACUUUCCCAUUGCACCGGGUGAUCCAUAUUUCUCUCUAUAGUAGGAAUCCCACACAAAGUGAGAGUCAUCAAAAUGCUGAGAUCAACAAUAUGAUAUGAGAGUAGAGAUACAAGGAGAGUGAAUGUAUCUCUACACUCUGAGUAUCCAACAUAUGCACAAGAUAAGCAUCUUAAAAAUACAAAUAUUAAAAUGGCUAUGUAGUCAUACAAGAUUACUAAUGAUCACAUCCAUUAGAAUGUACAAGUAUACAAGUAGAACACAUAGACGAUGAAUAAGAAAAGGUUUCAUGAGAUGGGUCGAUCAUAUCCUGUGUAGACCUAUUAUGAAGCAAUCAAUACUAUGACGAUUGAAGUUGAUAAACAGAUGUAGAGAUAAAAUCACAUUAAAGAAAGUUACCUCAAAAGCCACACCAUAUAUCAUAAUUGAUGUGAUGUAGCUAAGAUCAUAACAAUGAAGAGCAAAGGAUUCGUAUAGGCGAUAUCAACUACUCAAUAUUUGAACUUAGUUGUUAUUAUCACUCACGUUAAUCAACCCCAACUAGUUUGAGAUUGCAGAAUUGUUGAUUGAUCGAUACUGUGGUUACUUGCGCUUGGAAUGCCAAACUUGAGUGUUGUGCUUUGCCAUCUGAACUUUUCAAACUGGUGAACCUCUUGCACUGUUGAGACUGCAAAGUAUUUCUGUGAACCUCAUCUUUACAACUAAUGAGAGUGACCUCCAAUUUGAAAGUCAAAAUAGAGGAGGAAAGAGAUGUUGAUUAGCCGGUCCUGCUAAGUGGAAUCCUGUUUAUUGGACCACUUCUAAUCAUUUGCAGUUCAUGUUAACACUUUCCUAUGAAGAGUGAACAGAAGUAAACCAGUGGAUAAAGUGUGUAUAUUUGGCCAAGUGCAGUGAUAGAACUAAGUUUAGAUGGUAAAGAAACCCGAAAGAAUUGGAUGGCAAAGUUAAUACUCCUCCCUUCUCCUACACCCAAAAAUGAAUAGAUGCUUACUUAAUACAUUACUUUUUGAGAAACUGGUACUGUUGUAUUCCUCAGCAUUUUAAGGAUCCUAAGAAUUCAACAAGUUGAUCUACUUCUUCUAUACAUUGUUCUUUUGCACCAAAAAUAAAAAGAUACAAUACAAUUCCCCUUCACUUUAUGAAUAGAAUUGGACCUAUCUUCAAAACAUCUUUCAUUCCUUUCCUUCCAUACAGACUACCAAACACAGGCAGGGAUACUCCUCCACCACUUCUUCUGACUCUUACUUCCACUCCUUCUCACCCAACAACUCGGUAGAUCUGAGGUGUGUGCUGGCAUGGUCCAAUUAACCUUUGUGAGGCUAAAAAAGAUUGCCCAAAUCUGAGCUGUGAAUCUGCAAUGGAGAAAUAGAUGACUGUUUGUUUUCCCUGUUUCGUUGCAUAAGCAGCAUAUAGAAACUACAGGUAGCCCUUUUUCUGGAGCACUUCAUGUGUUAGGCAAGAUCUCCUAGCCACCAGCCAGGUGAAACAUUUUACUUUGAGUGGUGCUAUGCUUUUCCAGAUUUUCCUCCAUAAGUGUGGGUUGUCCCUUGCCAAUCCCAUAAUAUCCCUUCUAUAAACUCUAUCAGCUGAAAACACUCCAUUCCUGUUAUGUUUCCAUCCCACUUGCCAAACUCAGUAGAAAUACCUGUAAUACCUUCAAUAUCCUUCAAAAGAUUUGCCACUCUUUCUACCUCCCAAUCAUUCAAAUACCUUCUGGAGUUUAAAUUCCAUCCUUGAGGGCUCCAGCAAUCAAAAACAGUAGCAUUAGGAUUGUUGCAUAAUAAGAAUAAAUCAGGAUAUGAGUCCUUCAAAGCAACCUGACCAUUCCAACUUUCCUUCCAAAACCUAGUUCUCCUGCCAUUGCCCACUAUAACACAAGAAUUCACUUCCAAUUUUGGUCAUAAAGCUCUGAUUGAUCUCCACACCCCUUCUCCAUAAGUGUUUGUUACUGUACUUGUGCACCAGGUACUUCUCUGUCCGUAUUUGCAGUGUAUGACUUCCUUCCAUAAGGCUUGUUAUUUAACAUUGUUCUUCAACAUUGUACCUCCACAUCCACUUCAUCAAAAGGCUACUGUUCUGCAACCUGAAAUUUCUAAUUCCAAGUCCUCCCUGUUCUUUGCUCAAUUGAGUGGUUUGCCAUUUGACUAGAUUAUACCCUCUGCCUUCUUUUCUGCCAUGCCAUAAGAAAUCCCUUCUCGGUUUGUCAAGCUUCUUCACCACCUUUGAUGGAACAGGAAAAAGGGACAUUACAUAGGUUGGUAA